Long non-coding RNA from Austrofundulus limnaeus, 1520 nucleotides. RefSeq lists it as uncharacterized. Lineage: Eukaryota; Metazoa; Chordata; Actinopteri; Cyprinodontiformes; Rivulidae. The transcript has 2 exons. The record is from RefSeq and is a predicted model, not a curated record.
UAAAUGUUUCUUCACCUCAUAAAAAUAUUAAACCAAGUCCAUUUUUUAUUUGCUAAAUUAAAAUUUUUGUGGAUAAAAUGUUUGAAGUCAUAUUUUCAGUCUUGUGGAAACAGAUGUUCUUCAUCCACCAGAUGUCGCUCUUCUUCACAGCUGAUCCUCUUUGUUUUGUUUCUCAAAGAGGAAUCCCCCACAAAAACAAGGAGUGACGCAUCAGGAGGAGACCCCGGUUUUGUCGAGUAAGCUUUGGGGGGAUCUGGUGCUGGCGGGGUCAUCUGGUCCGUGUCACCCUCUGAUGGAUUUAUGACUCAGCGGAAUUUAAAACAACAGAGGAUCUUUGUUCAAACCGCCUGAAGCAACAUUUCUGCACUGAAUCCACCUUUUUCUCUGUUUUCUCAGAGUCCCAGCAGAGGGUGUGGCCUCCUGCAGGUUCUGCUCCAAAUAAGGGGAAAGUUGUUUGAAAUUCUUCAAAAAAGGCUCCAGUGUUUGGAUCCUGAGGAAACUUUACGGACCCUAGGAAAGGAGAUAUUAAUAACUCCAGACCAGCCCACCACAUUCCUCACAUGUUGCAGGAGGACACAGUCUGCAGCAGAAAUCGCAAGACUGCACGGUGGCUCGGCGGGCCUCGUGGUCCUGAGCUCACAGGUUCAAAACCUAGGAAGGAAAUUUGCAGUAAAACAAUCCAAUCUUUCAGGUUUGUUCACAGAAAGAAAAACACAAGAUGAUAUAUUCAAAGUAUCAAAUUUUAGCAAAAAGUGCAACAAAAACUUUGGUGAGGAGAAACGUCACAUUUUAUUUCGUUUUUAUUCAUAUACAGUAGUCAAUAAAUUUGUCUUUCAGUCUGGUUAGAGCUCAUCUUAGCAGGUGAAACAACAGCAACGUUUAUAAAAAAUAAUACGUAUCGUGUGAAAAGCACGAAAGUGAAAUUAAUUCAGGCUGUUAGGAUUGUGCUUCAGAAUAAAAAAAGAACAAACAUGAGCUAAGCAGGUCUUUGUUUAAAAAAAAUAAAAAUAAUAUUCUCACAAAGCAAAUACGUUCCAGCAUCAAUAUAUCACUGAUUAAAUGUUUGGUGCUUUAAUACAGAAACUUUAUUUUCUAAUAUAAAGUUUAAAGCUUUUCUCUCAGCGACGCUUUUCAACAAACACAAAUAAAAAAGAACAAACAUUAAAAAAGAAAAAAGAAACGCCCAAACAUGUUGACUGCUUCUGUUUGUUCAGCUGUGCAGGUGUACGGUCUCAGGUGAGCUAUGCAGCACUGUGCAAAAGUUUUAAACCUCUCCAGGCUUCUUUAGUCAGAAUUUCUUCUGUUUUUUAAUGGUGGUCCUGAUCUGUAGGUUUUCAGACUUUGUCUGCUUUUUCACUCACUUCCUGAUUGUGAACGCAUUUUGUGCACAUUUGGCUUUUUGAUAGUUCUUGUUAGAGCUAAAACACUAGAAUCUGUCUGUCUGUGUAUUUUUUUUAUCAGUUAUCAGUUGAGUUUUAGGAGGUCAGAGUUAAAACGGCUCAAUGAAUUAAACAUGCAAA